GGGAAGUGAAAUCUUGGCAGGAGCAAAAUUCGGUUUCAACAUCCUCCACCUAUUUUGUUUUCUAUUUUUUUUUGUGUUUGUGCUUUCAUGGUGGCAACCUGCCUUCCUUGCCCUGCCCCUGCUGUUUUCUGUGGCAGUAGAAGAAGGAUGCACGGAGUUCAUGGACGUGACCAUCCUGGUGUGCAGCUCAGCGGCCGUGUCGGCCCUCCCGCUCCUCGCCAUUUGUCUCUGCUAUUUGUCUUUUACACGUCACACCACUCAGGGCUGGAGCAAGGACUGUGAUGACUGUUGGAUGGACAAAGCCAGGUCCUUUGAAAUGUCUCAGCCAGGCACCAAGGACACCAUUCCCAGCUGAGAUCCAUGUGGGUGCCUCUCACUUGGCUAAGCAAGCCCAAGCCUUCCCCCAGCUUUAGGGGGUUCAGGGGUCUCAGUGUGGGUUCCUCUGUGAUCCUCAUAAUAAAUGUCCAUUAAAUUAACCUGAUUCUGCCUUUUUUAAUAAUAAAUCAGACCCAGGGGAGGCCAAAUAAAGGCACAUUUC
This 538-nucleotide long non-coding RNA is filed under the name Taeniopygia guttata (zebra finch). RNAcentral's name for it is "lncRNA (ENSTGUG00000028486.1)". Lineage: Eukaryota; Metazoa; Chordata; Aves; Passeriformes; Estrildidae. The record is from RNAcentral.